GUUUUUGCCCAUUCAGUAUGAUAUUGUUUUGAGGCCAAGGUGAAGAGCCCUAGAGAGGCAUUCUCUGGAGCCGAGCAGUGUUACAGGAGCAGAUCUUCAGUCUUAGUAUUACAGGUCAGAAGUCUGACCCAGACCUCCCUGGACUAAACUCAAGAUGUCAUCAGAGGCUGGAGUGCAGUGGUGCAAUUAUGGA
Long non-coding RNA from Homo sapiens (human), 193 nucleotides. RefSeq lists it as uncharacterized. NCBI's taxonomy places the organism in Eukaryota, Metazoa, Chordata, Mammalia, Primates, Hominidae. The record is from RefSeq and is a predicted model, not a curated record. The transcript has 3 exons.